RNAcentral lists this ribosomal RNA (441 nucleotides) under uncultured bacterium. Its description in RNAcentral is "partial 16S ribosomal RNA". It matches the Rfam family "Bacterial small subunit ribosomal RNA", at positions 338 to 795 of the family's 1533-position model. The record is from RNAcentral.
CCUACGGGCGGCAGCAGUGGGGAAUAUUGCACAAUGGGGGAAACCCUGAUGCAGCAACGCCGCGUGAGUGAGGAAGUAUUUCGGUAUGUCAAGCUCUAUCAGCAGGGAAUAGAAAAGAAGGUACCUGAAAAAGAAGCCCCGGCUAACUACGUGCCAGCAGCCGCGGUAAUACGUAGGGGGCACGCGUUAUCCGGAUUUACUGGGGUUAACGGGAGCGUAGACGGAAAGGCAAGACAGAAGGUAAAACCCAGGGCUCAACCAUGGUACUGCUGUUGAAACUGUCAAACUAGAGUACGGGAGAGGUAAGAGGAAUGCGUAGUGUAGCGGUGAAAUGCGUAGAUAUUAGGAGGAACACCAGUGGCGAAGGCGUCUUACUGGACCGAAACUGACGUUGAGGCUCGAAAGCGUGGGGAGCAAACAGGAUUAGAUACCCCGGUAGUC